Molecule: microRNA precursor, 85 nt
Filed under: Macaca nemestrina (pig-tailed macaque)
Lineage: Eukaryota; Metazoa; Chordata; Mammalia; Primates; Cercopithecidae
Description: miRNA (ENSMNEG00000014035.1)
Rfam family: mir-764 microRNA precursor family
Source: Rfam by way of RNAcentral
AAUCUAGGAGGCAGGUGCUCACUUGUCCUUCUCCAUGGUUGGAAAAUACAGGGAGGAGGCCAUAGUGGCAACUGUCACCAUGAUU